GGGUGCGAUCAUACCAGCACUAAUGCACCGGAUCCCAUCAGAACUCCGAAGUUAAACGUGCUUGGGCGAGAGUAGUACUAAGAUGGGUGACCUUUUGGGAAGUCCUUGUGUUGCACCCC
This 119-nucleotide ribosomal RNA is filed under the name Ricinus communis (castor bean). The record is from RNAcentral. Lineage: Eukaryota; Viridiplantae; Streptophyta; Magnoliopsida; Malpighiales; Euphorbiaceae.